GUGACAGGUUUAACAUUUUCUAAUAUGAUGUCGUGAUAUCUUUGUGAAUCAAAAUAAUUGAAUGGAUGACUGUUUAAUGUCCAGUGGUCAAAUGGAUUUUCCGGACGGUAACAUGCUAGAAUGUCAACCUGCUUUGUAUAGGACCAACACACUGAGUCGGAUGUGUAAUGUGCCAGUUUGCAAAGAAGCUGUCCAUACAUUAUUGGACACAUUAUUCUGAUUACGAGUCAAC
Molecule: long non-coding RNA, 232 nt
Filed under: Mytilus galloprovincialis (Mediterranean mussel)
Lineage: Eukaryota; Metazoa; Mollusca; Bivalvia; Mytilida; Mytilidae
Source: RNAcentral